GUCCACGCCGUAAACGAUGAGUACUAGGUGUAGGGGUAUCGACCCCUCUGUGCCGAAGCCAACGCGAUAAGUACUCCGCCUGGGGACUACGGCCGCAAGGCUAAAACUCAAAGGAAUUGACGGGGCCCCGCACAAGCAGCGGAGCGUGUGGUUUAAUUCGAUGAUACGCGAAGAACCUCACCCAGGUUUGACAUGCAUGUGGUACUGAGGUGAAAGCCAAGGGACCUUUCGGGGAGCAUGCACAGGUGUUGCACGGCCGUCGU
RNAcentral lists this ribosomal RNA (263 nucleotides) under uncultured bacterium. RNAcentral describes it as "partial 16S ribosomal RNA". It matches the Rfam family "Bacterial small subunit ribosomal RNA", at positions 793 to 1055 of the family's 1533-position model. The record is from RNAcentral.